CGUUCUCCUCAAUCGCACCAUCUUCAGCAUUGAAUCCUAUGGUUCUCAAGCUUCCUUACCUUAAUUUGGUAUUUUAAUCUAGCUAGGGGAGAUUAGAGAGAGAAGAGGAAGAAAUCAAGAACUUUGAUGCCAAGUUUGCCAAAGUUGACCAGGGCACUCUCUUUGACCUUAUUUUGGCAGCAAAUUAUCUAAACAUAAAGAGCCUUCUGAAUUUAACCUGUCUAACAGUGGUUGAUAUGAUAAAGGGGAAGACACCUGAGGAGAUUCAUAAGACAUUUAACAUAAAGAAUGAUUUCACCCCGGGAAAGAAGAGGAGGUCCAGAGGGCAUUCGAGUAAAGUAUACAUCAUUAUUAUGGAACCAACUUGUUAUGUUUGUUGUUGUUGGAUUGCUUUCCCCUACUAGUGAAUCUUCUUAUGUUGGAUUAUCUUACAACUGUGUUUACCCUUCAUCUUUUAAGUCUAUUUUAACUUUGAAUGUUGCUACUAAGAGGGUUCUUACUCCUCCUCUUAAUUACUUUGAAGAUAAACUGGCAUGGAACUAGUUGUGUUGUUUGUUAUCUCUUCUAUUGUUGAUUGUUAUUGCAAAGAAUAUUGAAUGUUGUAGAAAAAUGAAGAAUGGGAAUAAAUUGAUAUAUUUUGUGAUUGA
Long non-coding RNA from Impatiens glandulifera, 647 nucleotides. RefSeq lists it as uncharacterized. The record is from RefSeq and is a predicted model, not a curated record. Lineage: Eukaryota; Viridiplantae; Streptophyta; Magnoliopsida; Ericales; Balsaminaceae. The transcript has 2 exons.